RNAcentral lists this ribosomal RNA (1277 nucleotides) under Heptaprimnoa patagonica. Its description in RNAcentral is "SSU rRNA". It matches the Rfam family "Eukaryotic small subunit ribosomal RNA", at positions 17 to 1300 of the family's 1831-position model. The record is from RNAcentral. Lineage: Eukaryota; Metazoa; Cnidaria; Anthozoa; Scleralcyonacea; Primnoidae.
CCAGUAUCAUAUGCUUGUCUCAAAGAUUAAGCCAUGCACGUCUAAGUACGAGCACUUGUACUGCGAAACUGCGAAUGGCUCAUUAAAUCAGUUAUCGUUUAUUUGAUCGUACCAUUGCUACAUGGAUAACCGUAGUAAUUCUAGAGCUAAUACAUGCGAAAAGUCCCGACUUCUGGAAGGGAUGUAUUUAUUAGAUUCAAAACCAAUGCGGGUUCACGCCCGGUCUCUUGGUGAUUCACAGUAACUGUUCGAAUCGCAUGGCCUUUGCGCCGGCGAUGUUGCAUUCAAAUUUCUGCCCUAUCAACUGUCGAUGGUAAGGUAGUGGCUUACCAGGGUUGCAACGGGUGACGGAGAAUCAGGGUUCGAUUCCGGAGAGGGAGCCUGAGAAACGGCUACCACAUCCAAGGAAGGCAGCAGGCGCGAAAAUUACCCAAUCCUGAUGCAGGGAGGUAGUGACGAAAAAUAACAAUACAGGGCUCUAUGAGUCCUGUAAUUGGAAUGAGUACAAUUUAAACCUCUUAGCGAGGAACGAUUGGAGGGCAAGUCUGGUGCCAGCAGCCGCGGUAAUUCCAGCUCCAAUAGCGUAUACUAACGUUGUUGCAGUUAAAAAGCUCGUAGUUGGAUUUCGGGAGGGUGCGGUCGGUCAGCCGCAAGGUAUGUCACUGGCCGUUCUCUCCCUCCUCGCAAAGACUGCUCGUGCUCUUAGCUGAGUGUGGGCAGGAUUCGCGACGUUUACCUUGAAAAAAUUAGAGUGCUCAAAGCAGGCCGUUGCUUGAAUACAUAAGCAUGGAAUAAUGCAAUAGGACUUUGGUUCUAUUUUGUUGGUUUCUGGAACCGAAGUAAUGAUUAACAGAGACAGUUGGGGGCAUUCGUAUUUCGUUGUCAGAGGUGAAAUUCUUGGAUUUACGAAAGACGAACUAAUGCGAAAGCAUUUGCCAAGAAUGUUUUCAUUAAUCAAGAACGAAAGUUAGAGGAUCGAAGACGAUCAGAUACCGUCCUAGUUCUAACCAUAAACGAUGCCGACUGGGGAUCAGCGGAUGUUAUUGUAUGACUCCGUUGGCACCCUAAGGGAAACCAAAGUUUUUGGGUUCCGGGGGAAGUAUGGUUGCAAAGCUGAAACUUAAAGGAAUUGACGGAAGGGCACCACCAGGAGUGGAGCCUGCGGCUUAAUUUGACUCAACACGGGAAAACUUACCAGGUCCAGACAUAGUAAGGAUUGACAGAUUGAGAGCUCUUUCUUGAUUCUAUGGAUGGUGGUGCAUGGCCGUUCUUAGUUG